UACAGAGGUGGCAAGCGUUACUCGGUUUGACUGGGUGUAAAGGGUCCGCAGGCGGCUUUACAAGUGGAAAGUGAAAUCCUUCGGCUUAACCGAAGAACUGCUUUUCAAACUGUUUAGCUUGAGGAUGGAAGAGGAGAACGGAACUGCAGGUGUAAAGGUGAAAUUUGUGGAUAUCUGCAGGAACGCCAGUGGAGAAGUCGGUUCUCUGGUCCAUUCCUGACGCUCAGGGACGAAAGCUAGGGGAG
Molecule: ribosomal RNA, 245 nt
Filed under: uncultured bacterium
Lineage: Bacteria
Description: partial 16S ribosomal RNA
Rfam family: Bacterial small subunit ribosomal RNA
Source: RNAcentral